GGCUCGCAGGCGGUUUCUUAAGUCUGAUGUGAAAGCCCCCGGCUCAACCGGGGAGGGUCAUUGGAAACUGGGAAACUUGAGUGCAGAAGAGGAGAGUGGAAUUCCACGUGUAGCGGUGAAAUGCGUAGAGAUGUGGAGGAACACCAGUGGCGAAGGCGACUCUCUGGUCUGUAACUGACGCUGAGGAGCGAAAGCGUGGGGAGCGAACAGGAUUAGAUACCCUGGUAGUCCACGCCGUAAACGAUGAGUGCUAAGUGUUAGGGGGUUUCCGCCCCUUAGUGCUGCAGCUAACGCAUUAAGCACUCCGCCUGGGGAGUACGGUCGCAAGACUGAAACUCAAAGGAAUUGACGGGGGCCCGCACAAGCGGUGGAGCAUGUGGUUUAAUUCGAAGCAACGCGAAGAACCUUACCAGGUCUUGACAUCCUCUGACAACCCUAGAGAUAGGGCUUUCCCUUCGGGGACAGAGUGACAGGUGGUGCAUGGUUGUCGUCAGCUCGUGUCGUGAGAUGUUGGGUUAAGUCCCGCAACGAGCGCAACCCUUGAUCUUAGUUGCCAGCAUUUAGUUGGGCACUCUAAGGUGACUGCCGGU
RNAcentral lists this ribosomal RNA (590 nucleotides) under Bacillus pumilus. RNAcentral's name for it is "bacterial SSU rRNA". It matches the Rfam family "Bacterial small subunit ribosomal RNA", at positions 566 to 1156 of the family's 1533-position model. Lineage: Bacteria; Bacillati; Bacillota; Bacilli; Caryophanales; Bacillaceae. The record is from RNAcentral.